Molecule: ribosomal RNA, 387 nt
Filed under: uncultured bacterium
Lineage: Bacteria
Description: bacterial SSU rRNA
Rfam family: Bacterial small subunit ribosomal RNA
Source: RNAcentral
GACGAACGCUGGCGGCGUGCUUAACACAUGCAAGUCGAGCGGUAAGGCCCUUUCGGGGGUACGACGAGCGGCGAACGGGUGAGUAACACGUGGGUGACCUGCCCUCAGCUCUGGGAUAAGCCUGGGAAACCGGGUCUAAUACUGGAUAUGACUCCAUGACGCAUGUUGUGGGGUGGAAAGCCUUGUGCGGCUGAGGAUGGGCCCGCGGCCUAUCAGCUUGUUGGUGGGGUGAUGGCCUACCAAGGCGACGACGGUAGCCGGCCUGAGAGGGCGACCGGCCACACUGGGACUGAGACACGGCCCAGACUCCUACGGGAGGCAGCAGUGGGGAAUCUUGCGCAAUGGGCGAAAGCCUGACGCAGCGACGCCGCGUGAGGGAUGACGGCC